This 828-nucleotide ribosomal RNA is filed under the name uncultured Actinomycetes bacterium. RNAcentral describes it as "bacterial SSU rRNA". It matches the Rfam family "Bacterial small subunit ribosomal RNA", at positions 34 to 867 of the family's 1533-position model. Lineage: Bacteria; Bacillati; Actinomycetota; Actinomycetes. The record is from RNAcentral.
CGCUGGCGGUGCGCCUUAUGCAUGCAAGUUGAGCGAAGCUUUUUGGUAGUUUACUACUAGAAAUGACUGAGCGGCGAACGGGUGAGUAACGCGUGAGCAAUCUACCUUAGUUACUGGGAUAGCCCGAGGAAACUCGGAUUAAUACCGGAUAUUCUUACUUUUUCACAUGAAGUUUUAAGGAAAGGUCAGCCGAACUAAGAUGAGCUCGCGUUCUAUCAGCUAGUUGGUGGGGUAAAAGCCUACCAAGGCUACGACGGAUAGCUGGUCUGAGAGGACGAUCAGCCACACUGGGACUGAGACACGGCCCAGACUCCUACGGGAGGCUGCAGCAGGGAAUAUUGUGCAAUGAGCGAAAGCUUGACACAGCGACACCGCGUGUGGGAUGACGGUUCUAGGAUUGUAAACCACUUUCAGGAGGGAAGAAAAUGACGGUACCUCCACAAGAAGACCCGGCCAACUAUGUGCCAGCAGCCGCGGUAAUACAUAGGGGUCAAGCGUUGUCCGGAUUUAUUGGGCGUAAAGAGCUCGUAGGCGGUUCAACAAGUCGGUCGUAAAAGUUUAGGGCUCAACCCUAAAAUGUCGAUCGAUACUGUUGUGACUAGGAUACGGUAGAGGUGAAUGGAAUUCCGAGUGUAGCGGUGAAAUGCGUAGAUAUUCGGAGGAACACCAAUUGCGAAGGCAGUUCACUGGACCGUGAUCGACGCUGAGGAGCGAAAGCUAGGGGAGCAAACAGGAUUAGAUACCCUGGUAGUCCUAGCUGUAAACGAUGGAUACUAGAUGUAGGAACUGGAUUGACGGUUUCUGUAUCGUAGCUAACGCGUUAAGUAU